UAGGUUAUAUGCUAGUUAGAAUCUGGUGGAGAGCUUGUUUCAUACAGUGAUAAUCUAAGGAGAAUUUCGGAUAGCAGAGCUUAUUGUUAUCUAGGGCUAAUAAUUUCAUUGAAGGAGAAAUAAUAAUUACUUGAUUAAUUGAUUGUUGUACUUGGUGAAACUGAACUGCAGAACUGAAGUUUUACAUAUUUGGUUAAUUUUAUCGUUAAUUCUUGUUCUCUUAGUUUAAAAAUAAUUUUCAAAACCCCCAUCUUUAUUUUCUGUUAAAAUAGUAGAAUAAUUCUAAAACAACUUUACUCUCUGUGGGAUCGAUCCUUACUUGCUAUUGUGCUAAUUAUUAUAAAUUGUGGAGUGAAAGUGAGG
This 363-nucleotide long non-coding RNA is filed under the name Panax ginseng (ginseng). RNAcentral describes it as "long non-coding RNA (PGIN_LNC005474)". Lineage: Eukaryota; Viridiplantae; Streptophyta; Magnoliopsida; Apiales; Araliaceae. The record is from RNAcentral.